RNAcentral lists this ribosomal RNA (492 nucleotides) under uncultured bacterium. RNAcentral describes it as "partial 16S ribosomal RNA". It matches the Rfam family "Bacterial small subunit ribosomal RNA", at positions 29 to 507 of the family's 1533-position model. The record is from RNAcentral.
AGUGAACGCUGGCGGUAGGCCUAACACAUGCAAGUCGAACGGCAGCACAGUAAGAGCUUGCUCUUACGGGUGGCGAGUGGCGGACGGGUGAGGAAUACAUCGGAAUCUACUUUUUCGUGGGGGAUAACGUAGGGAAACUUACGCUAAUACCGCAUACGACCUACGGGUUAAAGCAGGGGAUCUUCGGACCUUGCGCGAUUGUAUGAGCCGAUGUCGGAUUAGCUAGUUGGCUGGGUAAAGGCCCACCAAGGCGACGAUCCGUAGCUGGUCUGAGAGGAUGAUCAGCCACACUGGAACUGAGACACGGUCCAGACUCCUACGGGAGGCAGCAGUGGGGAAUAUUGGACAAUGGGCGAAAGCCUGAUCCAGCCAUACCGCGUGGGUGAAGAAGGCCUUCGGGUUGUAAAGCCCUUUUGUUGGGAAAGAAAAGCAGCAGGUUAAUACCCCGCUGUUCUGACGGUACCCAAAGAAUAAGCACCGGCUAACUUCGUG